This 631-nucleotide ribosomal RNA is filed under the name uncultured bacterium. Its description in RNAcentral is "bacterial SSU rRNA". The stretch from base 1 to 530 matches the Rfam family "Bacterial small subunit ribosomal RNA", at positions 338 to 873 of the family's 1533-position model. The record is from RNAcentral.
CCUACGGGAGGCAGCAGUGAGGAAUAUUGGACAAUGGGCGCAAGCCUGAUCCAGCCAUGCCGCGUGCAGGAAGACGCAUCUAUGGUGUGUAAACUGCUUUUGUACGGGAAGAAACACUCCUUCGUGAAGGAGCUUGACGGUACCGUAAGAAUAAGGAUCGGCUAACUCCGUGCCAGCAGCCGCGGUAAUACGGAGGAUCCAAGCGUUAUCCGGAAUCAUUGGGUUUAAAGGGUCCGUAGGCGGUUUAAUAAGUCAGUGGUGAAAUCUGGUCGCCCAACGAUCAAACGGCCAUUGAUACUGUUAGACUUGAAUUACUAGGAAGUAACUAGAAUAUGUAGUGUAGCGGUGAAAUGCUUAGAUAUUACAUGGAAUACCAAUUGCGAAGGCAGGUUACUACUAGUGGAUUGACGCUGAUGGACGAAAGCGUGGGGAGCGAACAGGAUUAGAUACCCUGGUAGUCCACGCCGUAAACGAUGGAUACUANUGUGGUGCAGUAUAGUGNGUAGAGAAGUAGAGUAAGUAGUACCACCGUCGGGAGGUACGGUUACGUCGAAGAAAGUAAGUUAAAGUUAACGUAAAGAAAGUUAAGUACGGCGNGAGAGAGCGACGGACGACGACGAGGGAGGAGGAG